RNAcentral lists this ribosomal RNA (765 nucleotides) under uncultured Streptococcus sp. RNAcentral describes it as "bacterial SSU rRNA". It matches the Rfam family "Bacterial small subunit ribosomal RNA", at positions 28 to 776 of the family's 1533-position model. Lineage: Bacteria; Bacillati; Bacillota; Bacilli; Lactobacillales; Streptococcaceae. The record is from RNAcentral.
GAUGAACGCUGGCGGCGUGCCUAAUACAUGCAAGUAGAACGCUGAAGCUUGGUGCUUGCACCGAGCGGAAGAGUUGCGAACGGGUGAGUAACGCGUAGGUAACCUGCCUCUUAGCGGGGGAUAACUAUUGGAAACGAUAGCUAAUACCGCAUAAAAGUCGGCAUUGCAUGAUGUUGACUUGAAAGGUGCAAAUGCAUCACUAAGAGAUGGACCUGCGUUGUAUUAGCUAGUUGGUGAGGUAACGGCUCACCAAGGCGACGAUACGUAGCCGACCUGAGAGGGUGAUCGGCCACACUGGGACUGAGACACGGCCCAGACUCCUACGGGAGGCAGCAGUAGGGAAUCUUCGGCAAUGGACGGAAGUCUGACCGAGCAACGCCGCGUGAGUGAAGAAGGUUUUCGGAUCGUAAAGCUCUGUUGUAAGAGAAGAACGAGUGUGAGAGUGGAAAGUUCACACUGUGACGGUAACUUACCAGAAAGGGACGGCUAACUACGUGCCAGCAGCCGCGGUAAUACGUAGGUCCCGAGCGUUAUCCGGAUUUAUUGGGCGUAAAGCGAGCGCAGGCGGUUAGAUAAGUCUGAAGUUAAAGGCUGUGGCUUAACCAUAGUACGCUUUGGAAACUGUUUAACUUGAGUGCAGAAGGGGAGAGUGGAAUUCCAUGUGUAGCGGUGAAAUGCGUAGAUAUAUGGAGGAACACCGGUGGCGAAAGCGGCUCUCUGGUCUGUAACUGACGCUGAGGCUCGAAAGCGUGGGGAGCAAACAGG